GUUCGUGGAUGACGUCAUCGUGACGCGUUAAUAUCCGCCGUACUUUGCCGGUCUGUUGUCUGUCAGCUGCGUGCGAAUUUCGGGGGGAAAAGUAUCGUGACUUCGUCAAACACCAACAUGUUCGUCUCGUCUCGUUAACGAAAGUUAGAAUAGAUUUAGUCAUAGUUUUUUUUUUUUAAGAUCGUUUUCGUCACGUCUUAGUCUUAGUCAUGGAAAAAAGCUUCGUUAACGAAAAAUUUUCGUCAUAGUUUUCGGCAACGAAAUUAACACUGGUUGACACAUGCAUGCUUUAACCUAAACAAAUCUCAUAAGUGAAACUAUUAAACCAUUUUAUGUUGCUGCUAUUGAUUAUAUAUAUGUUCAUCUGUUUAUAGAUAUAUUCAAAUAAAGAAAUCACCAUGUAAACUUGUUACAUCUAAGAAGGGCUUGAAUCAUUUUUUUGAGAUGGCUGCAUAUUUAUUUUAGUGUAAAAACGUCAGGAGCAGCAAAUCAUGAGUCUCGCCUCGAACAAUUUCUGACUGGAAAAGUGUCCUGUGUCUGCUGUCCCUCAAAGAGUGUCCUGGUCCACCUCACUGACCUGCUAGGCAUAAAACGGUGAAUGUUUCUGACUGAAAAAGCGAUUCCAAUGUUAAAAAGCGCAUGUGUGAUGGUCUAGCUAAAUUAUACUUGCCUAGUUCCCAUGUGUUUUUAUGUUUUGUAUGUGCAACCUGCUGCUAGUGAAGGUUGCCCUUUCCGUUGCUAGGUCAGUUUUCGGACAACCAACAAUUAGUAAUGACGCCACAAGUGACAACAGACACGCAUUGCUUAAUACACUAGAGAGGUGCAGGUGAUUGGAAACAGCUGGAAACAAUCAUGACAUGACAGACUAUCACAGGGAAAGACAGGACACGGCAGGAAGUGACGUGACCCAGGGAGAAUAGAGGCAAGAAACUACAAAAUAAAACCAGACAUGAACCCAAACCGUGACAUUAAUAGGUUAAAUGUAUUUAAUUUGAACUCAAUUAAAUUAAGUUCAAUUAAGUUCAACUAACUUAACUAAAUGUAGUUGAAAGUGAUAAAACCAUUCAUAUCAAUUCAACUCUACUAAACUAUAUUAACCCAACACAAUAACAUAGUGUUAGAGCAACGUAAUUGUUUAGCAUAGAGAGAAACCAAUUUAAUCAUGUGGAAAUCCUUUCCAUGAUUUUUUAAAGUAAAGCCAACGAGUAAUUUUUAAAAAGUAUAAAAAUUAAAAAGUAUAGAAUGUGAUCAAUAGAC
This is a long non-coding RNA of Gasterosteus aculeatus aculeatus (three-spined stickleback), 1257 nucleotides long. The record is from Ensembl. Lineage: Eukaryota; Metazoa; Chordata; Actinopteri; Perciformes; Gasterosteidae.